This 431-nucleotide long non-coding RNA is filed under the name Junco hyemalis (dark-eyed junco). Its description in RNAcentral is "lncRNA (ENSJHYG00000017028.1)". Lineage: Eukaryota; Metazoa; Chordata; Aves; Passeriformes; Passerellidae. The record is from RNAcentral.
UUUGCAGACCUUCUCCCACGCUGGAAGCUCUCCUCCCUCUCAGACACUUGUCCAGGUCCAGCCUGCUCCUGUCUCCAUGAGACUGUUCCUGCUCUUGCCUGGCCCCAGUCCUUGGUGGGGUCUGUCAGCCCUGCAUCUUUCACCCUUCCAGGCAGGGGGACAGGUCCCAGGGGAUGCAGCUGCAGGGCCAUGACCAGCUCUGCCCGCCCUGCUGGGGAGUGGCCAGAGAAACUCCGGAAUUAAAGUGAACGAAUGAAGACUACAGUACCCUGAACUGAGGUCCUGGGAUUAACUAAAGAGCAAGAGCUUGUAAAGCCAACAGUUGAGGUUCUUCAGUGUCUAUUAUAUAUUGCCAUCUCAUCAGAUAAACUUAAAAGGGUAAGAAGUAUUCAUGUUAUUGUACUGUCAUUAUUUAAUAAAAUUAAAAAUAA